Long non-coding RNA from Arabidopsis lyrata subsp. lyrata, 643 nucleotides. RefSeq lists it as uncharacterized. Lineage: Eukaryota; Viridiplantae; Streptophyta; Magnoliopsida; Brassicales; Brassicaceae. The record is from RefSeq and is a predicted model, not a curated record. The transcript is spliced from 2 exons.
ACAAACCCUAAAACACGAGCCUCCUUCGUUUUCAUUCACGACUUAUCUCUCUAACUCUUUGUCUCUCGAACCCAAGGAACUCCUUCUUCAUCUCAUCUUAACCUCGUCAAUUUCUUCUUCGAUUUGUCAUUCAUCUCAAGGAUCUAUCAAAAUCAUCCGUAAAUUCUCGUCGAACUUUGUCAGUCUCGACUUCCUCUCGAUCCGAAGAGAUCUUGAAUCUAUGGCUUCUGAAGAUCAUAUUGACAUCGACACUGAACCUGGUUCUGUUCCCGAAUCUGUUCACACUAGAAAAAGGUCAGCAUCGUCGUCAACUAGAAAAAGGUCAGCAUCGUCGUCAAAUACUUUGCGCCUGGCGAAUAGCAAGUCUCUUCAGAAGGUCGGAAGGUGGGAUCUAGCGGCCAUACUUCACCGUUACCGACUCCGUCUUUGCUCCGUGGCGGCGGUAGUCAUACUGUCGAAAACCCUAAUUUUAAGUGGGUUUGGGCUUGUGAGUAUGAUAAUGGGCUUGCAUUUAUUUUCAUGAGCUUAUUAUUUUGGCUUGUAAAUUCUUUAUUGGGCUUGUAAAUUCGUUAUUGGUUGUAAUUUAGUUUUGGUUAACCGAAUAAAACCGAAGAAACCGACAAUAAAAUGAAAUUCGGUUUUA